AAUUUUUUAAAAAAUUAUUCAUUUAUUUUUUCUUUUUCAAAAGAUCUUUUUUUUUCCCAAGUAAGCCUUGGGACCAAAUUUAAUCUACCACCUGUUUUUGCAAAUAACGUUUCAUUGGAAUACAGCCUCACCCAUUUGUGUAUCAUCUACAGCUGCUUUUAUGCAACAAUGGCAGAGCUAAGUAGAUGAGAUAGAGAUUGUAUUGUACAAAAGGUGUAAAAUCUUUACUAUCUGACCCUUUGUAGAAAAAGUCUGCUGACCUCUUGUUUAAAGGAUAAAGUAGGUACUUUCUUAGUGUAUUUAAAACAGGAUUCUAUUUGUGAAAAUUUGAUUGCCACACAACUUUUCAGGUACACAUAGUACAUAUGAACUAAAUUAGUGCCUAGGUAUAUGGGGCAGAAAUCUGAGACCAUGGCAUAGAAAAUUCAGACUCCCCCAAACCUGAAUGCCAGUCAAAAGCCUUCCUAAUAUGGCCUCAUGGUUAAAGUGGUGAUAUUUGUAAAGCCUGACUGCUUCUUGGUAACUGUUAGAUUUUUUUUUCUUUUUCUUGAAAAAAAUAAUCUAACCUGGAUUCAGGCCAUAAAACUCUAUGCUUGAUUCACAGUGGCUCUCUUUUGGAAAAAUGCCACAAGACUGCAGUUAUAAGGUGAGGAGUGCAGAGAAACUAAGUGAUCAGUGAGUUAUGAACUUCUGUUGGAUUCACUGUCAUUAGGUAGAAUUGCUCCCAUGGGCCUGUGAAAUGGCUAAAAUUAGCAGAGACAAGCAACAACCCCCCAGGUGUAAAGCAAAUCGAAGAGACUUUAAAAGACUCAUGAUUUAGCUUGUCCCAUCAUUACAAUUAUUUGACAAUAACGAAGUAACAAAAAAAGGAGGUGGGACAUUUGUACCAGUCUCUGGAUCCUCCUUUUCAGUUUUAAGACAGACUCCGUCUGCACCAGUUAUAAUGCCACACUUUGGAGUAUAGGCUCAAGGAAUACUUCGGAGCAAGAAUCCAACUGAAGGGGACAUAUUCCAUCUUCUCCAUUUGUCAGGGCCUUCUCUGGGCAUUUCAAAACCCUUCCAAGCCAAAUAAAGAGUGACAAUUUUGUGCAUCGAUAAUAAUUUAUGCCCUCAUUUCUAAUCUUGUUUUGAAAGCUUGGUUAGAAAAUUGUAAGCCUGAUUCACAAAAAUUGGUAUGUUUUGUACACUGAGCUAAAUACCCUUUCAAGAAAGCUAUAAUUACAGAUUCCCAUGAAUUAAGCUAAUGUUCAAGGAGAAAUCCCAAAUUAUAUCUAUCUACCAAUGCAAAUCUCCUAAACUGCUAACAGAUUGUCACUUCAUGGGUGAGUAACUGGGUUAUGUCUCUUUAAAUUCUCUUGUUUAUCAUUUAAGUGGACUAUCAUUUUGAUUGUAUCUCUUUCCUUUAGUUGUGAAGAUGUAAAAGAACAAAGCCAAGACACAAUAUUUUGGUACAGCAUGUGCUGGUUUGUUCUGGGGAUUUCCACAGGGGUGCUUACUCUUGGGUGGGGCAGGAGAUGCUGAAAAGACCUCAGAGAGAAGCCUAAAGUGUGGGGAGCUCAAAGAAAAAUGACAUGCGUCACCAGUCCUUCUAGAGAUUGUGGGGGAACAACAGUGCCUUCUCUCUUUCCUCACUCAGGUCUUGUUAGUCCUUUGGAGACUUAGAAAAGCUGAGGAAGAACCACCUAGUUCACCCUAUCCCCCAGGUAAUAGAACCUGACUUUAUUCACAUCUGGGUAAAAGAAGUCAAGCUUGGUAUGGGAGAAGAAGCGGAAUAUAGGCACGUAUUGUAAAUAGACAUCUGACUAUUAGGCCCAGACUCUGACGCUCAGAGUGGGCAAAACCAGGAGCUGUCACGGAAUGGGCUCUGCGUUGGGGCCCAGUUUCAAGAAGGCCUCAGAACAACUUUGGAAGAUGAAUUGAUCCUGUUGCAUGAGCCUGGAAGCCUUGUUAAGUCACUUGACCUCCAGUCAGGUCAGCGUAUGGUUAGCUACCCGGACACAUCUUUCUACCAGACACUCUGGCCUUCAGAUUCCAGAGGAGCCAGUGGGCAGGGGUGUCUGUUUUUCACUGACAUUUGCAGGGUGGGUACACCUCUAGAGAGAAGGUCACAUCUCUUGCCAGGAAAUGCAGAGUCUGAGCAAUCGAGGGAAAGGCAGAGGUUAGCUCAACUUCAUCUGCCAUGUGGACCCCCAUGCUGAGCUGAAGAGUGUUCUGGUUAGAAGCAGAUUGUGGGUGGCCAAUGCCUUGCCUAUGGAACUAUAUCAUGGUUAAUUCUGGAUCAUCAGGAAAUCUAAUGAAUUUGACCUGAUUCAAUAAUGUCUUUCACUCAGUAAUCUGAUCACUUCUGUUCCAGGAGUAGCCUUCCUCAGUCUGCCCUAAUCUAAUGGUACGAAAACAGGCAUGUUUAAUUUUAGCCUAUUGCAAAAGAAGACCCAGGGCAGUAGACUGCAUCUACCUUAUGCUUGUUUUUGGAAGGAAAUUUACACUGGCCACGGUCAAUACUCAGCGUGUGACAAUGGUCACUGUCAAGGCCUGUAGGCCCACGCUGGAGAGAGCCUGGCACCUCACAAUGCAAUCCAAUCACUCCAGCUUGUCACAUAUUCAGAAGUUCAGAAAGCUCAGCAGUGACAGGUUUAUUUUUCAGAAACGCUGAGCUACAAAUUACUAAUAUAUCAGGCAGCCAGAAUCACUGGGCUGACUGCAGGUCUGAUUACCAUGGGUAACUGACACUAAGCCAUUCUGGGAGAUCCUCUCCCUUAAAUAGUUACAUUUCAGUGCUGCUGAAAUUCCGUGACCAAUCAGAUGCAGACAAUAGGUAGGGGCUUCUGAUUAGCACUCUGAUUUCCAGCUGUGCUCGAAGUGACUCAGGAGAUCAGUGGAAAAGUAGUUCAGUCACCCCAAAAUGAUAGGUUCCUACUCCUUGUUCCAUUCUCUAUCCCUGGAAAGCCACCAUGGCCCUUCCAAGGCAUUGAAUGUGGCACACUGAGAAUUACAGCAGCCCAGUGCUUUUCAAAGCACAACUGCCUGGGUCAAACAAAGAAACAAAAAAUAAGACUCUAAGGUCACUGCAUUGCUCCCCAAGUGCCCUUGAGACUGAAUCACCCUGGACUUCAUAUCAGAUUUCUCCCUGUUCUGGGGCCACCAAACAAUUCUGAUGGUGGUGGCUAUCCUUAUCAAAACAGUAAAUGUCAUUCCCCAACUGCUUAAACUAUGCUUUAUUUAUCAGUGAGGUGGUAGCCUACCUCAGGAUCACUUUUAUAGUAAUUUCCAUGGUCUUACUAUUUAAAGGAAUGUUUCCAGAAGUAUCUACAUCUGAAUUCACCUGUCUACUGCUAUUACCUAGCCAGGGAUAGUAAGAAAGACACUUUUGGUUGGAAUUUCUCUGGUGUCACAAAAUACAUAGGCAUUAUGACUUGUUCUGCCUACCUUGUAACUGCAAAAUUCACACAGUAUUUUUCCACACGGAAUACCCUCUUCUAUAAUGACUACUGCCACCCUCUUUAUUUCACUGCUAAGAUUGAUACCUCAAAGAGGUAUAAGCCACCCCCAAAAAGCUUAGAGGUGACAUUGAUCAAUGUGUCAAAGACUACUAUAGGCCCACUGUACCAAAUAAUAUGGCUAAGUCCUGACACCGGACAGGGGUGGUGGUGUGGGGGGUGUCUUUUAGGUGGGAGAGUUUAUGGUUCUCAGUCCUACAUAUCUGAGCCAAAUUAAAAUUUAAACACUUUCUUGGAUCCAUUCAAGUUUUCAAGAUCACAAACCCCAUUGUGUUCUUCCUAUAUUUAUCUGUUAAGACAUAGCUUUAAAACAUUUUUUUUUUCUUUUGAGUCAGAGUCUCACUCUGUCACCCAGGCUGGAGUGCAGUGGCA
This 3869-nucleotide long non-coding RNA is filed under the name Homo sapiens (human). RNAcentral's name for it is "HSALNT0326017". Lineage: Eukaryota; Metazoa; Chordata; Mammalia; Primates; Hominidae. The record is from RNAcentral.